Molecule: ribosomal RNA, 774 nt
Filed under: uncultured Neocallimastigales
Lineage: Eukaryota; Fungi; Neocallimastigomycota; Neocallimastigomycetes; Neocallimastigales
Description: partial large subunit ribosomal RNA
Rfam family: Eukaryotic large subunit ribosomal RNA
Source: RNAcentral
AGAGAUGUGUGAUGACGCAUAUCAAUAAGCGGAGGAAAAGAAACUAACAAGGAUUCCCUUAGUAACGGCGAGUGAAGCGGGAAGAGCUCAAAUUUGAAAUCUUCAAGGUUCUACCUUGACGAAUUGUAGUUUAUAGAAGUGUUUUCUGUUAGUAGAGUGGCAAAAGUUCUUUGGAGUAGGACAUCAUAGAGGGUGAGAAUCCCGUAUUUGGUCAUUCCUUCUAGCGUUGUGAUACACUUUCAACGAGUCGGAUUGUUUGGGAAUGCAGUCCAAAAUGGGUGGUAAAUUUCAUCUAAAGCUAAAUAUUGGCGAGAGACCGAUAGCGAACAAGUACCGUGAGGGAAAGAUGAAAAGAACUUUGAAAAGAGAGUUAAACAGUACGUGAAAUUGUCAAAAGGGAAGCGUUUGACACCAGUGUUGUUUUUCCGAAAAUCAAUUACGAAUGUUUUAUUUUUGAGGAGUUAUGACUUCAUCGGCUUGCUUCUCUCUUUAUGAAACUUUCUUAAUGCACUUUUCGGUUAACAAGUCAACAUCAAUUUCUUUUGUUGUAAAAGGGUAUGAGGAAGGUGACUUUCUUUUCGGAGAAAGUGUUUAUAGCCUUGUACCUCUGCAAUCGGAGAGAUUGAGGUCUGCAGCGUAGAUCCUUCGGGGUUAGAUACAUUUGUGCUAAGUUAUAGCUUUCCAUAGACAACUUGUUGACUAUGUUUAGUCUUGUAGCUUACUCGCUGACGCUAUUUUACCUACGCUUAGGAUGUUGAGUAGCGACAUACGCAC